AACGAACGCUGGCGGCAGGCUUAACACAUGCAAGUCGAACGCGUGUAGCAAUACACGAGUGGCGCACGGGUGAGUAACGCGUGGAUAUCUGCCUUUUGGUUCGGAAUAACCCCGGGAAACUGGGGCUAAUACCGGAUGGUUCCUACGGGAUAAAGAUUUAUCGCCAAAGGAUGAGUCCGCGUACGAUUAGCUAGUUGGUGAGGUAAUGGCUCACCAAGGCGACGAUCGUUAGCUGGUCUGAGAGGACGAUCAGCCACACUGGGACUGAGACACGGCCCAGACUCCUACGGGAGGCAGCAAUGGGGAAUAUUGGACAAUGGGGGCAACCCUGAUCCAGCCAUGCCGCGUGAGUGAUGAAGGCCUUCGGGUUGUAAAGCUCUUUUGGCGGGGACGAUGAUGACGGUACCCGCAGAAUAAGCCCCGGCUAACUUCGUGCCAGCAGCCGCGGUAA
RNAcentral lists this ribosomal RNA (451 nucleotides) under uncultured bacterium. RNAcentral describes it as "partial 16S ribosomal RNA". It matches the Rfam family "Bacterial small subunit ribosomal RNA", at positions 29 to 523 of the family's 1533-position model. The record is from RNAcentral.